AGAGUUUGAUCCUGGCUCAGGAUGAACGUUGGCGGUAUGCUUAACACAUGCAAGUCGAACGGGAAGCUUAACUUCGGUUGAGUGGAGAGUGGCGGACGGGUGAGUAACACGUAGAUGACCUGCCUUGAAGAAGGGGACAACCAGUGGAAACGCUGGCUAAUACCGUAUGAGCUUGAUAUGAUUAGAGGGUUCUGGGGGACUUCGGUUUCGCUUUGAGAGGGAUCUGCGGGCUAUCAGCUAGUUGGUGAGGUAAAGGCUUACCAAGGCGAAGACGGCUAGGGGGCGUGAGAGCGCGACCCCCCACAAUGGGACUGAGACACGGCCCAUACUCCUACGGGAGGCAGCAGUGAGGAAUAUUGCACAAUGGGGGAAACCCUGAUGCAGCAAUGCCGCGUGAAUGAUGAAGGCUUUCGGGUCGUAAAAUUCUUUUCUGAGGGAAGAGAGAGGACGGUACCUCAGGAAUAAGUCCCGGCUAACUACGUGCCAGCAGCCGCGGUAAAACGUAGGGGGCAAACGUUAUCCGGAAUUAUUGGGCGUAAAGCGCAUGUAGGCGGUUAGAUAAGAUAGACGUGAAAGCUCCCGGCUCAACUGGGAGAGGUCGUUUAUGACUGUUUAACUUGAGGUAGGUAGAGGAGAGCGGAAUUCCCGGUGUAGUGGUGGAAUGCGUAGAGAUCGGGAGGAACACCAGUGGCGAAAGCGGCUCUCUGGGCCUUACCUGACGCUCAGAUGCGAAAGCGUGGGGAGCGAACGGGAUUAGAUACCCCGGUAGUCCACGCUGUAAACGAUGGGUACUAGGUGUAGCGGGUAUUGAGACCCCUGCUGUGCCGAAGUUAACGCGAUAAGUAUCCCGCCUGGGGACUACGGCCGCAAGGCUAAAACUCAAAGGAAUUGACGGGGGCCCGCACAAGCAGCGGAGCGUGUGGUUUAAUUCGAAGAUACGCGAAGAACCUUACCUGGGUUUGACAUAUAGGUAGUAGAGAAGCGAAAGCGGAUCGACCCUUCGGGGAGCCUAAACAGGUGUUGCAUGGCUGUCGUCAGCUCGUGUCGUGAGAUGUUGGGUUAAGUCCCGCAACGAGCGCAACCCUCGUCGUUAGUUACAAGUGUCUAGCGAGACUGCCGUGAUCAUAGCGGAGGAAGGUGGGGAUGACGUCAAGUCAGCAUGGCCUUUAUAUCCAGGGCGACACACACGCUACAAUGGCCGGUACAAUGGGCAGCCACACUGCGAAGUGGAGCGAAUCCUGAAAGCCGGUCUCAGUUCGGAUUGCAGUCUGCAACUCGACUGCAUGAAGGUGGAGUUGCUAGUAAACGCGCGUCAGCCAUAGUGCGUUGAAUACGUUCCCGGGCCUUGUACACACCGCCCGUCACGUCAUGGGAGCUGGUAACGCCUGAAGACGGUGGAUCAACCGUAAGGAGAUAGCUGCCUAAGGUGGGACUGGUAACUGGGACGAAGUCGUAACAAGGUAACC
Molecule: ribosomal RNA, 1466 nt
Filed under: uncultured prokaryote
Description: partial 16S ribosomal RNA
Rfam family: Bacterial small subunit ribosomal RNA
Source: RNAcentral